GUGAGGAUGAGAUUGAGAGAGAGGAUGAGAGGGAAAAGUAACAAAAGUGAAAACAAAAACUUGAAAGUGAAAACAAUUUCAAAUAGAUUUUAGUUUUUAUUUUCACUUUUGUUACUCCUUCCUCCCUCCUCCCCUCUCAUCUCCCAUCUCCA
RNAcentral lists this microRNA precursor (152 nucleotides) under Prunus dulcis (almond). Its description in RNAcentral is "sRNA ncRNA". The record is from RNAcentral. Lineage: Eukaryota; Viridiplantae; Streptophyta; Magnoliopsida; Rosales; Rosaceae.